This is a long non-coding RNA of Bombus terrestris (buff-tailed bumblebee), 772 nucleotides long. RefSeq lists it as uncharacterized. Lineage: Eukaryota; Metazoa; Arthropoda; Insecta; Hymenoptera; Apidae. The transcript is spliced from 2 exons. The record is from RefSeq and is a predicted model, not a curated record.
CCUACUACUUCUACUCAAGCCUACUCUUGUUUCUAAUCCUCUUUUCGGAUUUUUCUUCGCGACGAAGCGCUCAUCUGCUCCCGUUCCUCGAACAACGCAGUUGACUCGUUUCUUCUGACCCGCUUCAGGAUGUUGCGUGGCAAGAUGUCGAAGAACGUUUCCCUUCUGAUGAGACCGAUAAUCACAAAAGGCGCAACGAAAUUUCUUGUCUGUGCCGCACGUGCUUCGAUGAUUGCAGCAAGAUUUCGACGAUUUAAAAUAUUUGAAGCAUUUUGGACACUGGUAUGGCGUCACUUGGACCACUGCGAGUUUCCAGCGAACCGCGCCACCUGAAAAAUCAAAUAUGGAUAUACUACUAUUCCUCUCUCGGCUCGUAUCAGCUACUAGUGAUCUACAUGAUUGACUCGUUCAUCAAAACGAUAUAUACUGUACCGCACACGAUCGAACCACUGUUCAAUGUUUAUUCCUGAAUGAAGAUAAUACGUACAUAUCCAUAUAUUAUUUCAUUACAAAAUAUAUCCACACCUAUACGACGAAGAAAAGAGGAACAAAUGAUAUAUCAAGAGAACAUGAUGAAAAGUUAAAUUAUCAAAGAAAGCAUGAUUCGUAUAUAUUGUCAUUUAUUUGAAGCGUACAUUGCACUGUUGUAGGAAAGAGUAACUACAACGCUUCGAUUUUAUCGUCUUUCCUACAAUAUUUCAAGAGUAACAACAACAACAAUAACAACGAUACACUGAUUCGUAACAAAAUUAAAUCUGGAACGAUUUUGUAU